RNAcentral lists this ribosomal RNA (311 nucleotides) under marine Metazoa environmental sample. Its description in RNAcentral is "SSU rRNA". It matches the Rfam family "Eukaryotic small subunit ribosomal RNA", at positions 587 to 972 of the family's 1831-position model. Lineage: Eukaryota; Metazoa. The record is from RNAcentral.
AGCUCCAAUAGCGUAUAUUAAAGUUGUUGCCCGUCCUUCCUGGCGCAGACUUCGUGUGCUCUUCACUGAGUGUGCGGAGGAUUCGCCACGUUUACUUUGAAAAAAUUAGAGUGUUCAAAGCAGGCUCGCCGGCUUGGAUACAUAAGCAUGGAAUAAUGGAAUAGGACUCUGGUUCUAUUUUGUUGGUUUCUGGACCCGGAGUAAUGAUUAAGAGGGACAGUUGGGGGCAUUCGUAUUUCGUUGUCAGAGGUGAAAUUCUUGGAUUUACGAAAGACGAACUACUGCGAAAGCAUUUGCCAAGAAUGUUUUCA